Molecule: unclassified non-coding RNA, 432 nt
Filed under: Hevea brasiliensis (rubber tree)
Lineage: Eukaryota; Viridiplantae; Streptophyta; Magnoliopsida; Malpighiales; Euphorbiaceae
Source: RNAcentral
GGAUUUUCCCACCUGCAUAAAUAUUAAUCAGAGAUAAAUAACAGUUAAUCAAGUGUUCAGGUUAGCAAUUUUCAUAAAAUACUGGAGCACUGGAAAAUUUUAUAAUCCGUUACUUUAAAAAAAUGGGUACGAUAAUUAGAUGAACUUCCAAGAAAAAUUACUUGGAAAUCAAUGAUGUCGGCAGAUGGUAAAGGAACCACUCAAUAUUGCAAAAUAAAGGAUAUUCAGUUGUCAUAUGAUAAGAAGAAAAAAAUUAUGCUUCAGGAUUUCAAAAACAAAGUUUUGGAUGCUUCACUGACUUUCCAAAAAUAAAUUUUUUCUUAGCAUAAACAUGGGAAUUGUCAGCAUCUGCAAGCAUCACUACAAAGGGAUCAUUAUUAAUCAAAUUUCCUCAUUUGAAAGCCUGCCUAGCCACUACAAAUCAUUUGAAAA